RNAcentral lists this ribosomal RNA (366 nucleotides) under Triticum aestivum (bread wheat). RNAcentral's name for it is "partial small subunit ribosomal RNA". Lineage: Eukaryota; Viridiplantae; Streptophyta; Magnoliopsida; Poales; Poaceae. The record is from RNAcentral.
AUGAUUAGAUUUUGUCUGCGUCCAGAAAAAGUAGUACAACUUAUCUACCAUUGCAGCAGCUGCCUACAGGAGGGGGGAUCCCUGAACAUGCCUGCAUUAUUUAUCUUCAAUCUAGUUCAACUUUUGCUCUUGUAUUUAGCUUGCUUGUGCUCAUGUGCAUGUCUCUUGAGUUCCAUUGAACAAUCACGCUCUGAGCAGGAAAAAGUGAAGCAUUUUUGGGCAUCUAGGUUUCUUAUCAGUGAUAGACUAUGUACCAUAUCCCAGGAAUGUUGCAGGCAUCCUAAGCAGGUGCUUUUGAUCCCUUUCGUAGUUCAUGAUAGCAUAUUUGAGUGCAUUUUGCUUAAUAUUUGUUACAUGUGUUAUUGA